RNAcentral lists this long non-coding RNA (629 nucleotides) under Erythranthe guttata (spotted monkey flower). Its description in RNAcentral is "long non-coding RNA (EGUT_LNC003347)". Lineage: Eukaryota; Viridiplantae; Streptophyta; Magnoliopsida; Lamiales; Phrymaceae. The record is from RNAcentral.
UCGGUUUUCGUGUUCCAUCACUAGAAUUAGUUAUGCGAAUCGGAUAAUUCGAAUCCAGGUCACCCUCUUGCUCACGAAUAAUAAUAUGCUAAUAUUCGACUUUUACUAAGGCGAGUUAAACUAAAUAUAGAACAAGAAAAUAGAGAAAAUAAAGAACAAAAAAAAGCAUUAAUUAAAUUAAAAUAUAGAGAAAAUGAAGUCAUAAAUUCAUAUAGUGAGUUAGUUCCCUUAUACCAUAUCACAUCUUAGCUCAUUAAUAAAACUUUAUAAUAAAGUUUAAUUAAAAGACCUAAAUUACAAAAUUGAGGCCACCCUAUUAUAUUAUAUAUGAAAAAUUAAUAAUCAAUAAAAACAUUUUUUUUCAAGCAGCUGGAGCGUAAUCGUAACCUCCAUCGUCGUCGUCUCCAUCACCUUCGAUUAUAAAUUUAGCCGGUGGACAAUUAUACCCUUCAACUGGAAAAAAUUCACCAUCUAGAACCUUCUUCUCCAACGAGCCGUCGCCAUUAUUGAAAAUAAUAUACAUUUUUUUUAAUAUUUUUUUUCAAAUAAUGAGAAGCUGAUGAAAAGAUAAAUUAAUUAACUGCUUUAAAGUACUUCGAACAAUUUGUUGGUUUCGAAUUUUGAUGAAU